Molecule: ribosomal RNA, 481 nt
Filed under: uncultured bacterium
Lineage: Bacteria
Description: partial 16S ribosomal RNA
Rfam family: Bacterial small subunit ribosomal RNA
Source: RNAcentral
GAUGAACGCUGGCGGCGUGCUUAACACAUGCAAGUCGAACGAAGCACUUUAUUUGAUUUCCUUCGGGACUGAUUAUUUUGUGACUGAGUGGCGGACGGGUGAGUAACGCGUGGGUAACCUGCCUUGUACAGGGGGAUAACAGUUGGAAACGGCUGCUAAUACCGCAUAAGCGCACAGCAUCGCAUGAUGCAGUGUGAAAAACUCCGGUGGUAUAAGAUGGACCCGCGUUGGAUUAGCUAGUUGGUGAGGUAACGGCCCACCAAGGCGACGAUCCAUAGCCGGCCUGGGAGGGUGACCGGACACAUUGGGACUGAGACACGGCCCAAACUCCUACGGGAGGCAGCAGUGGGGAAUAUUGCACAAUGGGCGAAAGCCUGAUGCAGCGACGCCGCGUGAGCGAAGAAGUAUUUCGGUAUGUAAAGCUCUAUCAGCAGGGAAGAUAAUGACGGUACCUGACUAAGAAGCACCGGCUAAAUACGUG